AAACAUGUUUUCAUCGACCAUGAAUAUGAUGACUCUUCCAGUGAUGAUGAAGGAAAUGAGAUCAACGGGCAUUACAAAGAGUUGAUUAUCAAGUCCGGUAACGAGCUUGAACCUUCCAUCUUGGACCCUAGAGAUGAAGCAACGGCCGAUAACUGGGUCGAGCGUAACGCUUCCAUGGUUCGUCUCACCGGCAAACACCCUUUCAACUCUGAACCUCCCUUGAACCGCCUCAUGCACCAUGGUUUCAUCACUCCUGUUCCUCUUCACUACGUUCGUAACCAUGGUCAAGUCCCUAAAGCUUCUUGGGAUGACUGGACCGUUGAAGUCGCCGGUUUAGUUAAACGACCGGUGAAGUUAACCAUGGAUCAACUGGU
Molecule: long non-coding RNA, 374 nt
Filed under: Gossypium raimondii (Peruvian cotton)
Lineage: Eukaryota; Viridiplantae; Streptophyta; Magnoliopsida; Malvales; Malvaceae
Description: long non-coding RNA (GRAI_LNC001664)
Source: RNAcentral